This 71-nucleotide transfer RNA is filed under the name Felis catus (domestic cat). It matches the Rfam family "tRNA". From Rfam's summary of the family: Transfer RNA (tRNA) molecules are approximately 80 nucleotides in length. Their secondary structure includes four short double-helical elements and three loops (D, anti-codon, and T loops). Lineage: Eukaryota; Metazoa; Chordata; Mammalia; Carnivora; Felidae. The record is from Rfam by way of RNAcentral.
GGUAGCAUAGUCAGUGGUUAAGAGCAUGGCUCUGAGGCACAGAUGCCUGGGUUCAAAUCCCAGUUCUACCA